AUGUACAGUCACCCAACAGUUGCUAGGCGCCCAAUUUUGCCCGCACCACCAACAGACGAUCCUAUCUCAUCCUUGCACCUCCCGGCAGAAGCCAUCUCCAUUCUGCCGCCACCACUGCCACCCCCACCACCACGACCCCCCUUUCCUUUGCGUGGACUGGCACACUUCCUGCAGAUGAAUUUUUCAGGGACUUCUUCAAAAUCACUGAUUCCUGAGCAUCUUGUGUGCUGCCACACUCCACACGCAUCACACGCCAUCAUCCUCUCACCGUCAUCGUCCUUGGCACCACAGGUGCAGUCCACCGUCCAGUUCUCCAAGCCCCUCUCCAUCCUGAACUGCACAAUUCUCCUGUGA
Molecule: ribosomal RNA, 354 nt
Filed under: Triticum aestivum (bread wheat)
Lineage: Eukaryota; Viridiplantae; Streptophyta; Magnoliopsida; Poales; Poaceae
Description: partial small subunit ribosomal RNA
Source: RNAcentral